RNAcentral lists this ribosomal RNA (498 nucleotides) under uncultured bacterium. RNAcentral describes it as "partial 16S ribosomal RNA". It matches the Rfam family "Bacterial small subunit ribosomal RNA", at positions 29 to 507 of the family's 1533-position model. The record is from RNAcentral.
ACGAACGCUGGCGGCGUGCUUAACACAUGCAAGUCGAACGGGCCCGCCCCUGUUUUUGGGGGUGGGUUGAGUGGCGAACGGGUGAGUAUCACGUGAGUAACCUGCCCCCUGCUCCUGGAUAACUGCUUGAAAGGGCGGCUAAUACGGGGUGUGCCGGCUGGUCCGCAUGGGCCUGGUCGGGAUAGUUUCAUCUUCGGGUGUUUCGGUGGGGGAUGGGCUCGGGGCCUAUCAGCUUGUUGGUGGGGUGAUGGCCCACCAAGGCGGUGACGGGUAGCCGGCCUGAGAGGGUGGGCGGCCACACUGGGACUGAGACACGGCCCAGACGCCUGCGGGAGGCAGCAGUGGGGGGUAUUGCACAAUGGGCGGAAGCCUGAUGCAGCGACGUCGCGUGAGGGAUGGAGGCCUUCGGGUUGUGAACCUCUUUCUCCGGUGGUGAAGGCCCUGUCCGUUGCGGCGGGGUUGACGGUAGCCGGGUAUGAAGCGCCGGCUAACUACGUG